CCUACGGGAGGCAGCAGUAGGGAAUCUUUCACAAUGGGCGAAAGCCUGAUGGCGCAACGCCGCGUGCAGGAUGAAGACCUUCGGGUUGUAAACUGCUUUUAUAAGCGAGAAAUAUGAUGGUAACUUAUGACUAAGGAUCGGCUAACUACGUGCCAGCAGCCGCGGUCAUACGUAGGAUCCGAGCAUUAUCCGGAGUGACUGGGUGUAAAGAGUUGCGUAGGUGGCAUAAUAAGUAGCUAGUGAAAUCUGGUGGCUCAACCAUUCAGACUAUUAGCUAAAAUGUUAAGCUCGAGACCGUUAGGGGUAACUGGAAUUUCUAGUGUAGGAGUGAAAGCCGUAGAUAUUAGAAGGAACACCAAUAGCGUAGGCAGGUUACUGGGACGGUUCUGACACUAAGGCACGAAAGCGUAGGGAGCAAACGGGAUUAGAUACCCCAGUAGUC
Molecule: ribosomal RNA, 442 nt
Filed under: uncultured bacterium
Lineage: Bacteria
Description: partial 16S ribosomal RNA
Rfam family: Bacterial small subunit ribosomal RNA
Source: RNAcentral